This 385-nucleotide ribosomal RNA is filed under the name uncultured eukaryote. RNAcentral describes it as "SSU rRNA". It matches the Rfam family "Eukaryotic small subunit ribosomal RNA", at positions 587 to 972 of the family's 1831-position model. The record is from RNAcentral.
AGCUCCAAUAGCGUAUACUAAAGUUGUUGCAGUUAAAAAGCUCGUAGUUGGAUUUCUGUGGGGACGGAGCGGCCGGCCGCAACUCGCGGUUCGAGCUAGCGCUUUCCCUACAUCCUGCCGCGAACCGUGCUACCAUUAGUUUGGUGGCGCUGGGGAUCGGCUCGAUUACUUUGAGAAAAAUAGAGUGUUCAAAGCAGGCCACACGCCUUGAAUAAGUUAGCAUGGAAUAAUAACUAAGGACUUCGGUUCUAUUUUGUUGGUGUUCGGGACUGAAGUAAUGAUUGAUAGGGACAGUUGGGGCGGUCAGUAUUCCAAAGCGAGAGGUGAAAUUCUUAGACCUUCGGAAGACUAACAGCUGCGAAAGCGUUCCGCAAGGAUGUUCCCU